RNAcentral lists this ribosomal RNA (654 nucleotides) under bacterium LB-1. RNAcentral describes it as "bacterial SSU rRNA". It matches the Rfam family "Bacterial small subunit ribosomal RNA", at positions 780 to 1434 of the family's 1533-position model. The record is from RNAcentral.
UGAUACCCUGGUAGUCCACGCUGUAAACGAUGUCGACUUGGAGGUUGUGCCCUUGAGGCGUGGCUUCCGGAGCUAACGCGUUAAGUCGACCGCCUGGGGAGUACGGCCGCAAGGUUAAAACUCAAAUGAAUUGACGGGGGCCCGCACAAGCGGUGGAGCAUGUGGUUUAAUUCGAUGCAACGCGAAGAACCUUACCUGGCCUUGACAUCCACGGAAUUUAGCAGAGAUGCUUUAGUGCCUUCGGGAACCGUGAGACAGGUGCUGCAUGGCUGUCGUCAGCUCGUGUUGUGAAAUGUUGGGUUAAGUCCCGCAACGAGCGCAACCCUUAUCCUUUGUUGCCAGCGAUUCGGUCGGGAACUCAAAGGAGACUGCCGGUGAUAAACCGGAGGAAGGUGGGGAUGACGUCAAGUCAUCAUGGCCCUUACGGCCAGGGCUACACACGUGCUACAAUGGCGCAUACAAAGAGAAGCGACCUCGCGAGAGCAAGCGGACCUCAUAAAGUGCGUCGUAGUCCGGAUCGGAGUCUGCAACUCGACUCCGUGAAGUCGGAAUCGCUAGUAAUCGUAGAUCAGAAUGCUACGGUGAAUACGUUCCCGGGCCUUGUACACACCGCCCGUCACACCAUGGGAGUGGGUUGCAAAAGAAGUAGGUAGC